This 2406-nucleotide long non-coding RNA is filed under the name Arachis ipaensis. RNAcentral's name for it is "long non-coding RNA (AIPA_LNC000978)". The record is from RNAcentral. Lineage: Eukaryota; Viridiplantae; Streptophyta; Magnoliopsida; Fabales; Fabaceae.
UCCCAGUCUUACAACCAUUAAGUGCUCACCCAACUUAACAAGAAAAUCUUCUCGGGAUAUAAUGAUUACAAAAUAGAAAUAUGUACAAAAGAAAUUGGAAUAAUUUUCUGAUUUUUCUCCAUGAUUACUCUCUUUGCCUUUUCUUUUAAUGGCUUUUAUUAAUGACUCACAUAUUUGCCUUUUUCCAUUGAUUUAAAAACAAAGAAGGAUAAAACUGAAGAACAUAAAAUUCAAUGUAAAUCCAUGAAGAAGAAAAAAAUAUAACUAGAAAGCUAUGAAGGCCGAAACAGUGUGCUCACUCUUCUUGUUUUAAUUUUUGGCUAUUUAUCCUUUUAAAUAAGAAUAAAGCUAUCAAAAUUUGAGCUUGGUUAAACACCUUUGUCUUUAUUCUUUUUUCUCAUAAAUCAGAUUAGAGACGCAAAGAAGAGAUAGGACAGCAGCAAUAAUUUCAUGGAUUAUAGAGUUAACUUGAAUUCUUACCUAACUACUUUUCUUUCUUUCUUUUUCUUUGACAUAAAAAAUAUGAACUAUUGAUCCAUUCUUUGGCUUCAAGUUUCAAUUGUGACAUUUGAUUUACAAUAGAGUAAAACAACAUUCAUUUUCUUUUUCUUGCCCGAAAACAGAAAGAUGGUACUUCAACAAGUUAUAGUGAUUGUACAAAGAUGACAACUUUCUUCUUUGUUUUGCCUCUUAACCAAAUUUGAUUUGAUUUUUCUCUUUUUGCCUUCAAUCUUUGACUUUUUCCUUUUUUUCCCUUUUGAUGCAUAAAUUUGGUAAUCCACCUUUUUCACUUUUCUUAAACCUAAUCUGAGUAUACAUUUUUACUUGUGAAACAUCUUUUUAUCCUUGGUUUAAGAUUAGUCACAUGGGUUAUGGUCAGAAGAGAAAAGUGAUUGUUUGGUUAGAGUCUUGGAAAUUUGAACACUUGGUUACGGGCUAGAAGAUAAUAAGUGUUGUUAAGGGAGCUUUGGGCCUGUUUUGAAUAUUUUAUUUUUCUGCACAGUGAACAUAUAUAUUAUACACAUUUUUGGGCUUUCAACCGAAAUCACUAAUAUUUGUCAUUAUCAAAUUAUUGUUAUUUUUAUUUAAACUCAACAAUCUUUCUCUUGAUGACAAACAUUAUAAAAGAAAAUGAAUUGAUAUUAAAAGAGGUGAGAAGAGUUAAUGAUACUUCUCUUUGAUGAUCCACUUUCAUGCAUAUUGAUUUUUCCUUCUCUUUCAUUUGAUUAGCUCCUCCUUAAUGUGUGCUUUUUCUCAUUCUGUGAUCACUAUUAAAAUAGCAAUGUUUGUGCAGAAACUAUAGUCAAAGGUAAUACCUAAUAUCAGCAAUUAACCUAACAUCCACAAAUACAAUAUCUACAAAUAUACAAAGCAGUCUAUUGAUGUGAAAUUUUUCAAAACCACAAUUCGACAAGUGCACUGAAUCGUAUUAAGUAAUAUCACAGUGAAUAAGUUAUCAUUCCCACGAAGAUUAAAGGACUAAACAACAAUGAUUAAUUGAUUAUUCUAAUAAGACAAAUCAAGAAACAGAAGAAUGAAUGAGGAAUUAAAGCAAACAUAUAAACAGAGGAAAAGUAAAUAGCAAACUGUAAGUGAAAAUAAUGAUGGUGAGAAUGUUAAAGCAUGUAGAGAUCAAUCACGAUAAAAUCAUAUAUAAUUGAAUUUCAAUUCCUUGAGAAUCCAAUUUCUCCUUAAUUAACUAAUUGUCAAUUCUUUGGUCAACUAAUUAAGAAAAGAGGUUAAGCACAAAUCUUAUUUAGUUUCAAAUAAGAUUCAAGAAUAAUUUUAGGUUGGAUUAUAUAUCACUUAUUCAAGCUAGUCUUAAACAAUUGAAACUUACAAGAAAGAAGAAUGAUUUCUAAAAGUUUUCUAAUCCAAAUUUUAUGUCACUUUUCAAACUAGAGCAAUUGAAAAUCACAAAGUAUUGCACACUCUUUGAAACAUUAUUCAUAGUCAAAUAAAAAAGUUGUGAGAAAGAGUUUUCAAGUUAAUUCUAAUAUUAAGUUUUUCAAAACAAUAUUUAAAAUCUAAAACAAAGUUAGAAUGUUUUCCAACAAUUUUGAAUCUUUAGGGAUGAAGAACGAAAACUCAAUCAUAAAAUAGAUUAAAGUACAAACCUCAUAUAAAGUAAAAUUAGAUUAAUAAUCCAUAAAAAGAUGAACAAAGCUCCUAACCUUAACAAAGGAGAUUAGUUACUCACAGUGGAAUGAAAACAAAAACUCUAAAGUCUAGUGUAAACUAUAUGAGAUAUGAUGUCCACCUCGUGAAAACAAUCCUUGGACUUAUUUAAAACCUAAACCGAAACCUAGAAUUUAAAUACAAAACUAAAUCAAAACAGAAUCAAAUCUAAUUCAAAUCAAAUCUUUUUUUAAUGACUCUUAACUGACUAGUAAUCUUCCUUGUAAU